Callithrix jacchus (white-tufted-ear marmoset) is the source of this 145-nucleotide non-coding RNA. The record is from Rfam. Lineage: Eukaryota; Metazoa; Chordata; Mammalia; Primates; Cebidae.
CCGCCCGGCCGGCGACGUUGCGGGCCCUGGGCGCCAGAGAGCUUCCCGGAGCCGACCUUCCAGCUGUCUGCUCUGUGGUCGCUUCCCGGCUCUCCCUUUUGGCCGAAGCCCCCGCUGCUGGGUGCGGGCCUCACUCAGGUAACGG